GAUGAAUAACGUAGUGAAAUGCGAUAAGUAAUGUGAAUUGCAGAAUUCAGUGAAUCAUCGAAUCUUUGAACGCACAUUGCGCCCCUUGGUAUUCCGAGGGGCAUGCCUGUUCGAGCGUCAUUAUAACCCUCAAGCUCAGCUUGGUGUUGGGGCCUGCUGCACUGGCAGCCCUUAAAAUCAGUGGCGGCGCCAUCUGGCUCUAAGCGUAGUAAUUCUUCUCGCUAUGGAGUCCUGGUGGAUGCUUGCCAUCAACCCCCAAUUUUUCUAUGGUUGACCUCGGAUCAGGUAGGGAUACCCGCUGAACUUAAGCAUAUCAAUAAGCGGAGGA
RNAcentral lists this unclassified non-coding RNA (328 nucleotides) under soil metagenome. Its description in RNAcentral is "partial contains 5.8S ribosomal RNA, internal transcribed spacer 2, and large subunit ribosomal RNA". The stretch from base 1 to 120 matches the Rfam family "5.8S ribosomal RNA", at positions 35 to 154 of the family's 154-position model. The record is from RNAcentral.